UACGGAGGAUCCGAGCGUUAUCCGGAUUUAUUGGGUUUAAAGGGUGCGUAGGCGGACUAUUAAGUCAGUGGUGAAAGCCUGCAGCUUAACUGCAGAACUGCCAUUGAUACUGAUAGUCUUGAGUUUGGUUAAGGUAGGCGGAAUGUGUAAUGUAGCGGUGAAAUGCUUAGAUAUUACACAGAACACCAAUUGCGUAGGCAGCUUACUGAGCCGACACUGACGCUGAGGCACGAAAGCGUGGGGAUCGAACAGGAUUA
RNAcentral lists this ribosomal RNA (257 nucleotides) under uncultured prokaryote. RNAcentral's name for it is "partial 16S ribosomal RNA". It matches the Rfam family "Bacterial small subunit ribosomal RNA", at positions 524 to 780 of the family's 1533-position model. The record is from RNAcentral.